UCGGGAAUAUUGGACAAUGGGCGGAAGCCUGAUCCAGCAAUACCGCGUGUGUGAAGAAGGCCUGCGGGUUGUAAAGCACUUUCAGUUGGGAAGAUAAUGACGUUACCAACAGAAGAAGCACCGGCUAACUCCGUGCCAGCAGCCGCGGUAAUACGGAGGGUGCAAGCGUUAAUCGGAAUUACUGGGCGUAAAGCGCACGUAGGCGGUGGAUUAAGUCGGAUGUGAAAGCCCCGGGCUCAACCUGGGAACAGCACUCGAUACUGGUCAACUGGAAUUUGGGAGAGGUGAGUGGAAUUUCCGGUGUAGCGGUGAAAUGCAUAGAGAUCGGAAGGAACACCAGUGGCGAAGGCGACUCACUGGCCCAAAAUUGACGCUGAGGUGCGAAAGCGUGGGUAGCAAACA
RNAcentral lists this ribosomal RNA (402 nucleotides) under uncultured Gammaproteobacteria bacterium. Its description in RNAcentral is "bacterial SSU rRNA". It matches the Rfam family "Bacterial small subunit ribosomal RNA", at positions 355 to 774 of the family's 1533-position model. The record is from RNAcentral. Lineage: Bacteria; Pseudomonadati; Pseudomonadota; Gammaproteobacteria.